Molecule: ribosomal RNA, 496 nt
Filed under: uncultured bacterium
Lineage: Bacteria
Description: partial 16S ribosomal RNA
Rfam family: Bacterial small subunit ribosomal RNA
Source: RNAcentral
GACGAACGCUGGCGGCGUGCCUAACACAUGCAAGUCGAGCGAUGAAAUUAGAAACGGAGUCUUCGGACGAAGUGGAAAAUGGAAUAGCGGCGGACGGGUGAGUAACACGUGAGCAACCUGCCUAUCACAUCGGGAUAGCCUCGGGAAACUGGGAUUAAUACCGAAUGAAACAUAAUCACUGCCUAGUGGAAAUGUCAAAGAUUUAUCGGUGAUAGAUGGGCUCGCGUCUGAUUAGCUAGUUGGUGAGGUAAUGGCUCACCAAGGCGACGAUCAGUAGCCGGCCUGAGAGGGUGAACGGCCACAUUGGGACUGAGACACGGCCCAAACUCCUACGGGAGGCAGCAGUGGGGAAUAUUGCAAAAUGGAGGGACCUCUGAUGCAGCGACGCCGCGUGAGCGAUGAAGGCUUUCGAGUCGUAAAGCUCUGUCGAAUGGGAAGAUAAUGACGGUACCAUUUGAGAAAGCCCCGGCUAACUACGUGCCAGCCGCCGCGGUAA